UCGAUUUGUUUACUAUUGAUUCUCCAUAAGUGAUUUAAUUUGCUACAUUUAUAAAAUUGUGCUUUCGUAUUGUUUCACUAAUAUGAGUUUUGUUUUUUUCUUAACUUCUUCUUUGAAUUCCGUGAAUUACAUAAGUUUUAAUUUAACAAGAUGGACAUCUGUAAAAAUUAUUUUUACUCCAUAUACAUAUCUAAGAAUCAAAAGUGUAUUUCUGGGAUUGUCA
RNAcentral lists this long non-coding RNA (223 nucleotides) under Brassica rapa (field mustard). Its description in RNAcentral is "long non-coding RNA (BRAP_LNC006002)". Lineage: Eukaryota; Viridiplantae; Streptophyta; Magnoliopsida; Brassicales; Brassicaceae. The record is from RNAcentral.